UGACCACUCAAGCCUAGCUUGGUAUUGGGGUUCGCGGUCUCGCGGCCCUUAAAAUCAGUGGCGGUGCCAUCUGGCUCUAAGCGUAGUAAUUUAUCUCGCUAUUGGGUCCGGUGGUUGCUUGCCAACAACCCCCAACUUCUAA
Molecule: unclassified non-coding RNA, 142 nt
Filed under: uncultured Pezoloma
Lineage: Eukaryota; Fungi; Ascomycota; Leotiomycetes; Leotiales; Leotiaceae
Description: sequence contains ITS2
Source: RNAcentral